This is an RNA transcript of Biomphalaria glabrata, 2523 nucleotides long. It is a transcript of the gene named ribonuclease P protein subunit p14-like, with no coding region annotated. The record is from RefSeq and is a predicted model, not a curated record. The transcript has 7 exons. NCBI's taxonomy places the organism in Eukaryota, Metazoa, Mollusca, Gastropoda, Planorbidae.
ACUUUAUUAUAUAGAUCUAAGUAUGUCCUCACACCAUACCAACAUGGCUUUAGGAAAUAUAGAUCAUGUGAAACACAACUAAUAGGAGUAAUUGAUGAUUUUUCAAAAGGUUUAGAUAAUAGUGAACAAAUAGAUGCUAUCUUACUAGAUUUUUCCUAAGGCUUUUGACUUUGACAAAGUUCACCACCAUAGUUUGCUUAAAAAAUUAAAAUAUUUCGGCAUUAAUGGUCCACUGCAUCAGUGGAUUACAGAUUUUCUGAUAGGGAGAGAACAAACUGUAAUAAUAAAUGGCUCUAAAUUAACACAGAUAACAGUAAACUCAGGUGUACCUCAAGGAACAGUCUUGGGUCCACUACUAUUUUUAAUUUACAUAAAUAAUUUACCAAAUAGCAUUACUUCAGGAACAAAAGUCAGAUUAUUUGCAGACGAUUGCAUAAUAUAUAAUAUAGAACAAUAAAAACAACACAAGACACCUGUAGAUAUUUUACAAAGAGAAUUAGAUGAAUUACAGAAAUGGGAAUCAAAUUGGUGCAUGUCUUUCCACCCAGAAAAAUGUCAGUUGUAAGAGUAACAAAAAAACUAAAACAAAUUAAUUCCACUUAUCUUAUUCAUGGCAAACCAGUAACAGAGACUAAAAAUGCAAAAUACCUAGGUGUUAUAAUAAAUGAAAAACUGUCAUGGAAUCCACAUAUUGAUGAAACUACAAAAAAAUCAAACAAAGCAUUAGGAUUUAUUAAAAGAAAUUUCUAUAAAUCAUAUAAGAAAAUAAAACUAAAAUGUUAUUUAACCUUGGUUAGGCCAAUAAUAGAAUAUGCAUCCUCCGUUUGGGACUUCUCAACUCAAGAAAACAUUAAGAAACUGGAACAGACACAAAAUAGAGCAGUGCGAUUCAUAACAAACGAAUAUUCACAUUUGACUAGAGUAACACCUUUAGUAAAAUCACUAAAUUUAGAAAGCCUUCAGGACAGAAGGCUCAAAAGUAAAGUAGCAAUCAUACAUAAAACACUGAACCAUAAUCUUCAAAUACAAAAACAAAAUUUAAUAAAAUACUCUGAAAGACGCAAAGAUAAAGGCACAUUCCUCGUCCCAUAUGCUAGGACAAAUUUGUACAAAUACUUUUUGUUCCCUAGUGCUAUUAGAGCAUGGAAUGGGUUGCCUGAGCUAGCCAGGAAAACCAGUGACUUGGCAGAAUUUAAGUCAUUGGUUAAUAUGCAUGACGCAUAGGACGUAAUCAUCUUCUUUUUUGAAAGCAGACUAUCUUGACACACAGUAUAUAGCUCCUCCUUCAUGUUCAAAGAUGAGCACAUUUCUCAUUUCCUAAGGCCUUGAAGAUGACUGUAAAGUCCAAUCCUCGCUUUAAAAAGCCAGCCGCAUGCAUGGCAUGGGAGGGUUUGGUCAGUUGCAGACAGGCCUGCUUCUUCCGAGACUCACAGCUUCUCGCCAUGAGGAAUGAUCAAGAGCUAGUGCUUCCCAGUCAUGAAUGUCGAUUUUGCAUUCCUUGAAGGAGCUCUUCAGAGUGUCUAUAUAGCGCUUGUAUUGACCUCCCUGGGAGCGCUUUCCUGCACACAACUCCCCUUACAGAAGUCGUUUGGGAAGGCGAUAUUGUUCAUGUUGGACAGCUUUAAGAUUUCUGUGUGGUAUGUGUUCAGACCAACGCACCCUAUGGAUACUCCUUAGACAGCGUAGGUGGAAGGAGUUUAACUUUUUGGUGUGGCAGGAAUAUAAGGUCCAGGACUCUGAUGCAUAAUAUAGGAGUGACGGAAGAACUACAGUACUGUAGACUUUCAGUUUUGUGGAUAUGCUGAGUCCUUUCCGUUGCCACACUUGUCCUUGUAGUCUACCAAAAGCAGCACUGGCACUAGCAACACGGAAGUCUACCGCAUCAUCUAGGUUGAUUUGCUGAUAUGGUGCUUCCGGUGCUUCCCAGAAGACAAACUUUUGACAUUUGCUAAUUUCUGGCCAUCUAUCAGAAUGUCUGGUUCUAUGACAGCAACAAUGUUAAAUUAUUAAGCGUCUAACAGUCACCACUACUUUUCAGAAUGGAAGUUCAAGAAGAAGUCAAAUCCAGUCUAUUGAUUUCUGAUAAACAUCACCCAUUUGUUUACUUGAAGAUACAAUUAACUUUUGAAAAUGGUGAAGAAGAUGUGAAUGAAUUAACUCCAGUACAAUUUAAAUUUCUUGUAAUGCAAGCAAUCAAAGAAACACUUGGUGAAAUAGGAGCAAGUACACCAGUUGAUAUUCUGAAGCUCUGGGAUGAAGGUCUGGCAAUCUUGAGAGUUCCAAGCAUUGAGGCUGAAAAAAUCUGGGCAGCAUUAACACUUUAUAGCACUACAGCCACUCAGAAGAAAUGUGCCUUCAGAGUCCUCCAGGCAUCAGCAUUUCUUCUAGCCUUAUCUGUCAACAGCAGAGACUUGAGAUAGCACUGGCUGAGUGAUAAUAGACCCAAUACUUGUAUUUUUAUAGAAUAAAAUGACAUCAAUAAAUUAAUAUUUAUGUAAAAAAAAGUGUUUUGUUGUUUUAAUA